RNAcentral lists this ribosomal RNA (489 nucleotides) under uncultured bacterium. RNAcentral describes it as "bacterial SSU rRNA". It matches the Rfam family "Bacterial small subunit ribosomal RNA", at positions 903 to 1397 of the family's 1533-position model. The record is from RNAcentral.
AAAGGAAUUGACGGGGGCCCGCACAAGCAGUGGAGUAUGUGGAUUAAUUCGACGCAACGCGAAAAACCUUACCAGGUCUUGACAUCCACGGGAUCCUUACGAAAGUAGGGAGUGCCCUUCGGGGAGCCGUGAGACAGGUGGUGCAUGGUUGUCGUCAGCUCGUGUCGUGAGAUGUUGGGUUAAGUCCCGCAACGAGCGCAACCCUUAUUGUUAGUUGCUACGCAAGAGCACUCUAACGAGACUGCCGUUGACAAAACGGAGGAAGGUGGGGACGACGUCAAAUCAUCAUGCCCCUUAUGAUCUGGGCCUCACACGUACUACAAUGGUCGGUACAGAGGGAAGCAAAACCGCGAGGCAGAGCAAACCCCUAAAACCGAUCUCAGUUCGGACUGCAGGCUGCAACUCGCCUGCACGAAGUUGGAAUUGCUAGUAAUCAUGGAUCAGCAUGCCAUGGUGAAUACGUUCCCGGGCCUUGUACACACCGCCCGU